Molecule: ribosomal RNA, 858 nt
Filed under: uncultured bacterium
Lineage: Bacteria
Description: bacterial SSU rRNA
Rfam family: Bacterial small subunit ribosomal RNA
Source: RNAcentral
UACGUAGGGUGCGAGCGUUAAUCGGAAUUACUGGGCGUAAAGCGUGCGCAGGUGGUUUGUUAAGUCAGAUGUGAAAGCCCCGAGCUUAACUUGGGAACUGCGUUUGAGACUGGCAGGCUAGAGUCUGUCAGAGGGGGGUAGAAUUCCACGUGUAGCAGUGAAAUGCGUAGAGAUGUGGAGGAAUACCAAUGGCGAAGGCAGCCCCCUGGGAUAAGGCUGACGCUCAUGCACGAAAGCGUGGGGAGCAAACAGGAUUAGAUACCCUGGUAGUCCACGCCCUAAACGAUGUCAACUGGUUGUUGGGCAACUUGAUUGUUCAGUAACGAAGCUAAUGCGAGAAGUUGACCGCCUGGGGAGUACGGUCGCAAGAUUAAAACUCAAAGGAAUUGACGGGGACCCGCACAAGCGGUGGAUGAUGUGGAUUAAUUCGAUGCAACGCGAAAAACCUUACCUACCCUUGACAUGUACGGAAGUCUGCUGAGAGGUGGAUGUGCCUGAAAGGGAACCGUAACACAGGUGCUGCAUGGCUGUCGUCAGCUCGUGUCGUGAGAUGUUGGGUUAAGUCCCGCAACGAGCGCAACCCUUGCUAUUAAUUGCCAUCAUUAAGUUGGGCACUUUAAUAGGACUGCUGGUGAUAAACCGGAGGAAGGUGGGGAUGACGUCAAGUCCUCAUGGCCCUUAUGGGUAGGGCUUCACACGUCAUACAAUGGCCGGUACAGAGGGAUGCCAACCCGCGAGGGGGAGCCAAUCUCAGAAAGCCGGUCGUAGUCCGGAUUGUUCUCUGCAACUCGAGAGCAUGAAGUCGGAAUCGCUAGUAAUCGCGGAUCAGCAUGUCGCGGUGAAUACGUUCCCGGGUCU